ACCUAGUGGGAGAGGCAGGAACAUCGACAGAUGGGCAUGACUCAGAGUGGAACGCACACGAAUGGAGAGAAGCAUCUGGUAUAGCCUGGUUGUGGACCAGGAGGACACCGGGGGGGCUUCCUGGAGGAAGCAAUUUAGAAAAGCAGUAAGCCUGAAACGGAGCCUAUGCAGGGGCUUGGCUCCUACCAUUUCGGGUUAUCUUAAUUAUGUCUCGCUGAGCCCACUCCCUUCCCUUCCUGACCCUCCAAUCUCCGAAUGCCGCGGGCGUGGGCUUUGGGGAGACGAAUCCAUGUGUAUGUGGUAUGCCUGUGGGUGGAUUUCUUCCCCCCUCCUUUUAUUAAAAGUUAAUGUUAUAACACCAGGAACUGAUUAUGUAAUGAAAGCUAAAUCUAUAAAGCAAAAGGCUCUUUCCCCUGGCUAUUUUUAGGCGAUGCCCAGUUGCCAGGCUUGGCCUUCAGCUCCAGUGCAACUGGAGGCCAGAGCUGAAUUUUCAAAUGUUGCACGGUGGCCCUUCAGGGCUGGAAAACAGCUCCUGGCAGAGAAGAAAGGGCAGGGCUUCGGCUGACUUGAGGGCUGAGUCAGGGCUGUACCAGGCUCCACACAAAGGAGCUGCAGCUGCGAGGAAAAAGGCCUCUUUAGCGAGGGAAGCCGAGGGGGGAGGAGGCUGUCAUGUGCACUUCUUGCCAAGCGCCGCCAUCCCAACAGAAGGGGAAACAGAAAAUCUUCAGUAAAUGGCCAGGAUUUCACUCCCUUCCACACCUGGGGUGGGGUGGGGACACCAUCAGAAAGGAUCCAGCAACUUGGAGAACCCAGAGGAGGGACACACGUGGGGAAACGGCCCGCCCUUUGGAGAAGCCCCACCUUCGGCAGGGCUCAGAGUUGCAGGGAAGGUGAGCAAGGACUGGAGGCUACUCUCCGACCCACCCACCCAGAGACCUCGCACCCAGGCAACAGCUGGACACUCAGGGCCUCCAGGGGCAGGCGGGUGUCCCUGGAGAGCCAGAGGGUGUGCGCAGGGGAUAAGAUCAGACCUGGCCCCUUCCACGGAUUUCAGCGCAGGGGCCCAAGGAGCAGAGGGAACACUGAGCACGUCCCUGGACGUCAGCAGGGAUCCUGCGGCCUUGAGGAAACUGGAGCUUCCCCAGCCAGCAGAUCACAGCGGGGAGGGGCCCAGGAAGAUGCCGCACAGGGACCCCAAAUCCUGACUUCACUGGACUAUGAGCUCCUGCCUCACAUGAGAAGAGACCGAAGUACCUUUAUGCACCGAGCUGAGACAUUUUUAUUGUGAAUUAUCAAUUACAGCAGAUACUUACUUUUUCCUGCACAUCUGAGAUGUAAUGUACACAUGUUCCCCAGCCAUUUCAUUAAGUCUUCAAUAAAUAUGAGCUGCCAUCA
Molecule: non-coding RNA, 1395 nt
Organism: Sus scrofa (pig)
Lineage: Eukaryota; Metazoa; Chordata; Mammalia; Artiodactyla; Suidae
Source: RefSeq, a predicted model, not a curated record